UCCUGGGUGGCUCAGAUGGUAAAGCGUCUGUCUACAAUGCAGGAGACCUGGGUUCGAUUCCUGGGUCGGGAA
Molecule: transfer RNA, 72 nt
Filed under: Ovis aries (sheep)
Lineage: Eukaryota; Metazoa; Chordata; Mammalia; Artiodactyla; Bovidae
Rfam family: tRNA
About the family: Transfer RNA (tRNA) molecules are approximately 80 nucleotides in length. Their secondary structure includes four short double-helical elements and three loops (D, anti-codon, and T loops).
Source: Rfam by way of RNAcentral